This 89-nucleotide transfer RNA is filed under the name Clostridia bacterium. Its description in RNAcentral is "tRNA-Ser". It matches the Rfam family "tRNA". Rfam says of the family: Transfer RNA (tRNA) molecules are approximately 80 nucleotides in length. Their secondary structure includes four short double-helical elements and three loops (D, anti-codon, and T loops). The record is from RNAcentral. Lineage: Bacteria; Bacillati; Bacillota; Clostridia.
GGAGAGAUGGCUGAGUGGUCGAAGGCGCACGAUUGGAAAUCGUGUGAUGGUUAAUAGCUAUCCGUGGGUUCAAAUCCCACUCUCUCCGC